Molecule: long non-coding RNA, 384 nt
Filed under: Rosa chinensis
Lineage: Eukaryota; Viridiplantae; Streptophyta; Magnoliopsida; Rosales; Rosaceae
Description: sRNA RchiOBHm_Chr1g0323131
Source: RNAcentral
UAACUGGAUCGAAGUCAGAAAACAAGCUUAAGGGAUCGAAAACUACCUCACAAGCCGUGAACAGUGAUCCAAUCCGAGUUGAUCGAAGUUUCACGUGAAUCGAUCCAAACAACCACCAAGGAUCGAUCAGCGAAGCUAUUCUGAGCUCAACCAAGGAAUCGUUGAAGCCAUGAAGUCGCCGGAGUUGUGUUUUCCGGCCGGGUCCGAAAACACAAGGCUGCACCGCCUUGCAGCGCCGCCGUGGAGAAGAAUCGGCGAUAGAGACCACCAGAGGGACGACCAGACGGAGGAGACGACCCUGCUGGUCAAGUUUCACGGCCGGAGACCGCCGCAGUUGGCCGGAAAAGCCGGGUCGGAACGCCGGGUUCGGGUCGGGUCAGGCGG